RNAcentral lists this non-coding RNA (29 nucleotides) under Mus musculus (house mouse). Lineage: Eukaryota; Metazoa; Chordata; Mammalia; Rodentia; Muridae. The record is from RNAcentral.
CUCUUGAUUUGUGACUGACGGUUGUUCUC